Molecule: unclassified non-coding RNA, 236 nt
Filed under: fungal sp.
Lineage: Eukaryota; Fungi
Description: partial internal transcribed spacer region
Rfam family: Eukaryotic small subunit ribosomal RNA (bases 1-53)
Source: RNAcentral
GAAGGUGAAGUCGUAACAAGGUUUCCGUAGGUGAACCUGCGGAAGGAUCAUUACCACACCAAUAAAUCCACAACCUCGUGAACUGUUUCCUAAACCGUAUUGCUAUUUGUGUGUAUUCUGUAAAGAAAUAUCGGAUGAAUAACAAAACAUAUUAUAAAACUUAUUAUAUUAUAUAUCUGAAAUUAAAGUAAUAACCUAUUACAACUUUCAGCAGUGGAUGUCUUGGCUCACACAUC